UGGGGAAUAUUGCGCAAUGGGGGCAACCCUGACGCAGCCAUGCCGCGUGAAUGAAGAAGGCCUUCGGGUUGUAAAGUUCUUUCGGUGACGAGGAAGGCGUGAUGUUUAAUAAGCAUCACGAUUGACGUUAAUCACAGAAGAAGCACCGGCUAACUCCGUGCCAGCAGCCGCGGUAAUACGGAGGGUGCGAGCGUUAAUCGGAAUAACUGGGCGUAAAGGGCACGCAGGCGGCUAUUUAAGUGAGGUGUGAAAUCCCCGGGCUUAACCUGGGAAUUGCAUUUCAGACUGGGUAGCUAGAGUACUUUAGGGAGGGGUAGAAUUCCACGUGUAGCGGUGAAAUGCGUAGAGAUGUGGAGGAAUACCGAAGGCGAAGGCAGCCCCUUGGGAAUGUACUGACGCUCAUGUGCGAAAGCGUGGGGAGCAAACAGGAUUAGAUACCCUGGUAGUCCACGCUGUAAACGCUGUCGAUUUGGGGAUUGGGCCUUGAGCUUGGUGCCCGAAGCUAACGUGAUAAAUCGACCGCCUGGGGAGUACGGCCGCAAGGUUA
Molecule: ribosomal RNA, 547 nt
Filed under: uncultured bacterium
Lineage: Bacteria
Description: bacterial SSU rRNA
Rfam family: Bacterial small subunit ribosomal RNA
Source: RNAcentral